Molecule: long non-coding RNA, 341 nt
Organism: Penaeus chinensis
Lineage: Eukaryota; Metazoa; Arthropoda; Malacostraca; Decapoda; Penaeidae
Exons: 2
Source: RefSeq, a predicted model, not a curated record
CGAGGUCACAGUAGCAGUAGCAGUAACAGCGCAUUUUCCUUCCAUCGGUAAACUGACUACCCCUAAAGACCGUAUGCAAGGAGACAGACCGAGACGGGGGAUAUAGACGUGUCGGAAUCCUGCAGUUCGUCAGUGACAUCGUCGAAAACAAGAAAAAGUGAAAAAAGUGAAAAAGUGAAAGUGAAAGUGGAAGUGAACAGAUAUGAACUUGACUUGAUAUGACUUGUAGUGCAUGAACGAGAGGAAUUUUGGGAAACAUUGCUUUUGUUUUUGUAGUGUGUGUUGUUUUUGUAGUGUGUGUAUAAUUUAUAUUUAAGUUUGAAAAUAAAUGGUUAAAGGUU